AAGGAGCCAGGAACUCCUUGAAGGUUCAUAAACCCUAAUCAUGAAGAUCACCAAAUUGAGGGGUUAAUUGUAGCUCAAAUUCAAGAAGGAACAUGGACUAAUGAUCACCUAAGUAUUUCCUACAUCAAAAUUGGAAUCACACGAGCAUGGGCCAAGCACGAAGGCUAACGGGUCAAGAUGAGGCAAGCGGUUACGAGCACGGAUGCACAAGGUACUACACGGACUUCUUCUGCUGCUAAGGAAGUGAAGCGGACGUAGAUCGAGUC
RNAcentral lists this long non-coding RNA (266 nucleotides) under Helianthus annuus (common sunflower). RNAcentral describes it as "hypothetical non coding rna". Lineage: Eukaryota; Viridiplantae; Streptophyta; Magnoliopsida; Asterales; Asteraceae. The record is from RNAcentral.